AAAAUAAGUUCCGCUGUCAGCAACAUUCUACCUGAGACGUUAACUCUGAUUGUCUUUCUACAGAUGCUGUUUUAAUCUACAUCUCUGCUUUUAUUUCAGAUUUAUUCAUUUUUCUUCAUGUUCAUUUAAAGAUCAGUUGCAAACUAUUUUUUAGAGCCUAUUGUCAACGCAUUCCAGGAGAUGGGAUGGAAAAUAGUUGGGGGAAGAGGAUGGCCUCCUGGUGGGCUGCCUUUUGGUGGUGGAGGGUCAGCUCUUUGCACCCUUAACAACCAGGAAAGGUGGGCAGGCACUUCUGUAGCAUGUCCAAGCAGAGGAAUGGGCCUAGCAUGACCCAUCCCUUGAGAUCAGCACCUCUUAAAACAUCCACCUGAAUUUCUACGGAAAGGAAAACAGGGAGAGGUGAGUAGUGCAAUCACUAACAAGAAAAACAUCUGCAGAUGCUAGAAAUCCAAGCAACGCAAACAAAAUGCUGGAGGAAUUUAGAAUGAAUGGUCUUGCCCCCCCCCUCUUUCUUUCUCCUGAGGCCUCCCGUCCCAUGAUCCUUUCCCUUCUCCAGCUCUGUAUCACUUUCGCCAAUCACCUUUCCAGCUCUUAGCUUCAUCCCACCCCCUCCGGUCUUCUCCUAUCAUUUCGCAUUUCCCCCUCCCCCCACUUCUUUCACAUCUCUUACUAUCUUUCCUUUCGGUUAGUCCUGACGAAGGGUCUCGGCCUGAAACGUCAACAGAGCUUCUCCCUAUAGAUGCUGCCUAGCCUGCUGUGUUCCACCAGCAUUUUGUGUGUGUUGUUGUUUGAAUAUCCAGCAUCUGCAAAUUUCCUCAUGUUUGCACAUUGACUCCUUACUCUUUUCCAUAGAUGCUGCCUGACCUGCAGAGUUCCUCAAGCAUUUUGAGAGCAGGGUAAUUUCAACCAAAAAGAAGAAAUGAAUUUAUUCUUGGCUCACUAUUUUGGUCCUCACACACUGAGAUGUGUCUGUCAUGUUUCAAAUUGGAAUAGUGGGGACAGCUUCUUACAAAAUGGUGCUGAAACCCUGGUAACAUGGGUAAAGAUGAUGAACACAGAGCAUGGAUCAGUCCAUGGAAAUAUGAUGCUGUGAGAUUAGAGAGUUGCUUGAGAGAGUGUCAGGAAAGAGUGCUUAGAUAAGGGGAUAAGCAGAGGUCUCAAGUUUCUCUUAACCUGCAAAAUAAACAAGCAAAAGCAGAGAAUCAAGGAAUAAUGCAACUAUUUCUGUUGUGAGUGAGGUGGGAGCAAUCCUGCUGCCUCGGUGAACUUCCUUUCUCAGUAUGAGAGGGCAGUACGUCACACAAACUCAGACUAUGCUUGUCUAUGUUAGGGUAAUAUGAUUGAAAUGGUCAUACUUGUCAUUAUACAUACCAUUUAUUACAAAUUACUAUAAAUUGCACUUUUAGACAGAGAUAUAACGUAAAUAUUUUUACUCCUCAUGUA
This is a long non-coding RNA of Hypanus sabinus (Atlantic stingray), 1443 nucleotides long. RefSeq lists it as uncharacterized. Lineage: Eukaryota; Metazoa; Chordata; Chondrichthyes; Myliobatiformes; Dasyatidae. The record is from RefSeq and is a predicted model, not a curated record. The transcript has 4 exons.